GCUAGAAAAACGAAAGUGCUCACCAGACAUUAGAGACCUUUAGCACGACGUUCGUGCUAGGUAUCGCAAGUCUCAAACAGCAUUUCAACGUUUUCCGUCAAAUUUUCGACAUUUAACAAGGCGUCAUUACCAAGUUGUUGCUGGAAGAUCCGCCAUAUUGAAUUUCAUUGAGAAAGAGUUUUUCUCUUUCUGACUGAGAGCCUGUUUCUGGGCCUGAUUCCUAGCGGUUUGAGGUAAACGGUAAACCUGAUGCUAAAGUGCCACCAGUAUGUUGGGAUGUACAGCACAUCUCGAGGUCCAACGACGGCUUCUAGACCUUCAAUCUCUUUGAACUUUGGAAAUCUUUCAAAAUCAGCCAAGUCUUGUCACGAUAUCCAACAACCAGGGAUAGUCAAACGAGUUGAUAUCUUCUACUAACGACUUGCUCACACCUUCUAUGAUGUACAGCGGGGACUAAAAGAUAAGAAAACAGCAGAGUGCAUGUCAUAUAUCCGUGAAAACGUUUGUAAGAAGCUGCACAAAUUUGCACAAAUAUUAGUAAGUUCAGUAGACCUCAGUAGACCGUAGACCUACAAAACUUUGCACUAAUUUGCACAAUUUUGUUGAUUAACUUUUUCACGGAUAUAAGGGAUGCACUCUAUAACAAUCCAUAGUCAAACUUCUAUUAGUCAUAAUCGAGGUUCAGCGGGGAAAAUGGGUGCCCUGUCCUGGCCGUGUCCUGACUUAGACGCGGUCCAGGGGUUUUUUUUUAAGGUUCGAUAAAAAUUUGAAGAGGUCAUACAACUCUGCUACCACGCUUUCAACGAUACUUCUAUGUUGUUAUUGGUGUUGUUGUUGUUGUUGCUUUUGCUGUUGUUGUUUCGCUGUUUUUGUUUGUUUGUUUUUUGUUUUUUGUUGUUGCGAGGCUCCAAACUAGCUUUACCCUGGUUACUAAAACAAGAGGGCCUGUUGUUGUUGUUGUUGUUACUGCUGCUGUUGUUGUUGUUUCGUUGUUAUUGUUCGCUUUUUUGUUUGUUGUUCCAAACUAGCUUUACCCUGGUUACUAAAACAAGAUGCCCGAGUAGAGAUUACCCAGAGUAUAGUAGUCCAGUCGUUUUCUUUUAAUUUGAUUUACCUGGAAA
Molecule: long non-coding RNA, 1121 nt
Organism: Actinia tenebrosa (Australian red waratah sea anemone)
Lineage: Eukaryota; Metazoa; Cnidaria; Anthozoa; Actiniaria; Actiniidae
Source: RefSeq, a predicted model, not a curated record